RNAcentral lists this long non-coding RNA (1373 nucleotides) under Nicotiana benthamiana. RNAcentral describes it as "long non-coding RNA (NBEN_LNC017232)". The record is from RNAcentral. Lineage: Eukaryota; Viridiplantae; Streptophyta; Magnoliopsida; Solanales; Solanaceae.
GGAUGUGUCAGAGUUCCUUAAGAAUCUCAAACAGAUUUUGGGCAGUGCUUACACCCAAAUAUAUUGCAGAAUUUGAUUAUGGUGCAGUGUGGAAAGGCCAGCCCUCAAAUGCCCAAGUUUAGAGGGAAACUCAAGGUUACCAAGGCAAGGCUCAUAGGAGGGGAACAUAACAUAGGGUCUAUGAGUUAGUGCAAGUGCAGUGAAAGGGGAAGAGGCAUGCUGGUUGUCAUGCCUAGCAAUUUGGGGUGCUGGCACACCCCUAACUAGUUUGUCAGUUCAAAUUGAGGUGUUAACACCUGUUAAAGGUCAGGUUCAACCUUAGACAACAAUUUGGAUACUGCUACGCUAUACCAUUACUCAACACACAUAGGGGAAUGGGGUAUAGGGGAGCUCAAAGAGACCAGAGCAGGCUGUGGACAUGUCCAAAAUGGGGAAUUCUAACAUGCCCACAAUCCUAUUACACUAUUAGAGGCUAGGAUUCAGAAGAUCUGGUUUUAAUAUAUGGGAAAUAACUUGUAUAUUGCCAUGUUUUAAACCAUAGCUCGAACACAUAAAAGGGUAGGAAGUAGGAAUACAUUGAAGAAACAGAUAGAAAUAAAUAAGCAUACUACUUUAAAUGUUGAACUCUCCAGAACAGAAAAAGUAGACAUGGAUGUAAAUGCUUGUAAGCAAACACAUUGGAGUGAUGCGGAAAUAAAAAUUAGGACAUAACAGUUCCAGGGAAAUAAAUAAAUGAAAGCAGGAGUCUUGUAAGCCAAGUUUUCGAGCAAGUAAUACAAAAUAUCUUAGAAGAGAGUAGGGAAUUGAAAGAGUAAUGUAAUCGAGAGAGUGUGUGUAAGAGUAUUCAAUCCGAGGUGUGUCUUGUGAAAAAGGGUUGUGUAUUUAUAGUGUUCCAUGAGAAACUAAGGUAAUAAAAUAAUAGAAGGCUUCUUGUCAUAAGACUCCCUCUAAUUAAGGGAUUCAAAUUCAAAUGGGUAAAACAAUUAAGUGAAGGGAUUUUGAAAGAAUAUUUUCCCAGCAAUAUAGUAAAGGGUAAGUGCAUAAAAGAUAUUUAAGGAAUCAAACCAAUAGUAUACGGUUUUGUAAAAAUAAGGAAAGGGAAUCAAUCAGUAAAACUAAAAUUACAUGCUUACUCGAAUGAAUCAGGUCGAGAAAAAGGGUAAAGAAAGGUUCACGUAGGAAAAAUCAGGAAUAAUAAAAUAAACACAAUCAAAGGGAUUCAGAAUCAAUUAGUAGUUGGAAAAACCUCUUGAAAGAAGAAUUCUCAUAUAUAAGGUACACAAACAUUUUAGUCAAGAAGAGACUAUCGAGUUAUGUAAGAGAGAGUAGUUUAGGAUGAUAAAGACUCAAAAAUCAUGAGCAAAGAGAUCCAG